CCUACGUGUGGCAGCAGUGAGGAAUAUUGGUCAAUGGACGCACGUCUGAACCAGCCAUGCCGCGUGCAGGAAGACGGCUCUAUGAGUUGUAAACUGCUUUUGUACGAGGGUAAACGCAGAUACGCGUAUCUGUCUGAAAGUAUCCUACGAAUACGGAUCGGCUAACUCCGUGCCAGCAGCCGCGGUAAUACGGAGGAUUCAAGCGUUAUCCGGAUGUAUUGGGUUUAAAGGGUGUGUAGGCGGUCGGCUAAGUUAGAGGGGAAAUCCCGAGGCUCAACUUGGGAAUUGCCUCUGAAACUGUACGGCUAGAGAGUAGUUGCGGUAGGCGGAAUGUAUGGUGUAGCGGUGAAAUGCUUAGAGAUCAUGCAGAACACCGAUUGCGAAGGCAGCUUACCAGGCUACUUCUGACGUUGAGGCACGAAAGCGUGGGGAGCAAACAGGAUUAGAUACCCGAGUAGUC
RNAcentral lists this ribosomal RNA (460 nucleotides) under uncultured bacterium. Its description in RNAcentral is "partial 16S ribosomal RNA". It matches the Rfam family "Bacterial small subunit ribosomal RNA", at positions 338 to 795 of the family's 1533-position model. The record is from RNAcentral.